This 228-nucleotide ribosomal RNA is filed under the name Triticum aestivum (bread wheat). RNAcentral's name for it is "partial small subunit ribosomal RNA". Lineage: Eukaryota; Viridiplantae; Streptophyta; Magnoliopsida; Poales; Poaceae. The record is from RNAcentral.
AUGGACCAAUCCAUCCCUUUUUCCCGUGCAUAUGCAUCAGACUCGGAUGACGAUGGUCCUGAUGAAGAAGUUGAUGAGGAGGGGUUCACGCCGAAGGAGGCCGAAGCAUUCAAGAAGGUAUUCGGGCGGGAUCACAAGACACCAUUGUUCAAGGAUCUUAGUCUCGCGGAUGAAGCCGUUGUGGAUGGUGGAAAAUGCAUAUCUCUUGGAGCUAGGCCAAGUUCUCAC